Long non-coding RNA from Hyla sarda, 441 nucleotides. RefSeq lists it as uncharacterized. NCBI's taxonomy places the organism in Eukaryota, Metazoa, Chordata, Amphibia, Anura, Hylidae. The record is from RefSeq and is a predicted model, not a curated record. The transcript is spliced from 5 exons.
AUAAAUCUCCCCCAAUGACAACCGUAAACCUUUGCUGGACAACUGGAGGUCGGCCAAGGUGUUUAUUUUCGUUUGAAUCCAACAUCUCUUUUAACUCCUAAAACUCUCAGAGCUAAGCGGUCUGCCGGCAGCCCCUUCGGCAGUCAUAACACUCUACUCUCCAGGACAGACGAAAUAAAAGAAAACAAGAAUGAAUCAUCUAACAGAAUUGUCCAGAGCAGGAGGCCGGAAGAAGCACACUGACUUGUGUGAAACAGCCGGCGUCGCCUCCGAGCGCCUAUCCUACUGCACCGAUGCUGUGACCCAGCCUUCCGUGGACCGGAUCCCCACGCCGACUGAUCUCUGCUGAGCGGUUGAUCACAAUGUCAUCACCACGCAGCAUUUUUACCAGCAGUCCAAAUGGGACUCCAAGACCCCAACAUCUGAUGGAUAGUCCACCAG